UGGCGGACGGGUGAGUAACGCGUGGGUAACCUGCCUCAUACAGGGGGAUAACAGUUGGAAACGACUGCUAAUACCGCAUAAGCGCACAGUACCGCAUGGUACGGUGUGAAAAACUCCGGUGGUAUGAGAUGGACCCGCGUCUGAUUAGCUAGUUGGCGGGGUAACGGCCCACCAAAGCGACGAUCAGUAGCCGACCUGAGAGGGUGACCGGCCACAUUGGGACUGAGACACGGCCCAAACUCCUACGGGAGGCAGCAG
Molecule: ribosomal RNA, 258 nt
Filed under: uncultured bacterium
Lineage: Bacteria
Description: partial 16S ribosomal RNA
Rfam family: Bacterial small subunit ribosomal RNA
Source: RNAcentral